RNAcentral lists this ribosomal RNA (313 nucleotides) under uncultured Glomeromycotina. RNAcentral describes it as "SSU rRNA". It matches the Rfam family "Eukaryotic small subunit ribosomal RNA", at positions 569 to 886 of the family's 1831-position model. Lineage: Eukaryota; Fungi; Glomeromycota. The record is from RNAcentral.
AGCAGCCGCGGUAAUUCCAGCUCCAAUAGCGUAUAUUAAAGUUGUUGCAGUUAAAAAGCUCGUAGUUGAAUUUCGGGAUUGACACAUCGGUCGUGCCAAUGGUAUGUACUGGCCUCAUUGGUUCUCACCUUCUAAGGAACCAUGAUGUCAUUUAUUUGAUGUUGUGGGAAAUUAGGACUGUUACCUUGAAAAAAUUAGAGUGUUUAAAGCAGGCUAACGCUUGAAUACAUUAGCAUGGAAUAAUGAAAUAGGACAUCCGAUUCUAUUUUGUUGGUUUCUAGGAUCGAUGUAAUGAUUAAUAGGGAUAGUUGGG